UACGGGGGGGGCAAGCGUUGUUCGGAAUUACUGGGCGUAAAGGGUUCGUAGGUGGCCAACUGAGUCAGACGUGAAAUCCCUCAGCUCAACUGGGGAACUGCGUCUGAUACUGGUUGGCUUGAGUGCAGGAGAGGAAUGCGGAAUUCCAGGUGUAGCGGUGAAAUGCGUAGAUAUCUGGAGGAACACCGGUGGCGAAGGCGGCGUUCUGGACUGCAACUGACACUGAGGAACGAAAGCCAGGGGAGCAAACGGG
Molecule: ribosomal RNA, 253 nt
Filed under: uncultured bacterium
Lineage: Bacteria
Description: partial 16S ribosomal RNA
Rfam family: Bacterial small subunit ribosomal RNA
Source: RNAcentral